GAAGCGGCAACAGCUCAAAUUUGAAACCUGGCGCUUGCGUCCGGAUUGUAAUUUGUAGAGGAUGCUUCUGGGCAGCGGCCGUUCUAAGUUCCUUGGAACAGGACGUCAUAGAGGGUGAGAAUCCCGUAUGUGACCGGCGCGCACCCUCCACGUAGCUCCUUCGACGAGUCGAGUUGUUUGGGAAUGCAGCUCUAAAUGGGAGGUAAAUUUCUUCUAAAGCUAAAUAUUGGCCAGAGACCGAUAGCGCACAAGUAGAGUGAUCGAAAGAUGAAAAGCACUUUGGAAAGAGAGUUAAAAAGCACGUGAAAUUGUUGAAAGGGAAGCGCUUCCAACCAGACUCCGCGGCGGUGUUCCGCCGGUCUUCUGACCGGUCCACUCGCCGCCGUGGGGCCAACAUCGUCUGGGGCCGCCGGAUAAGACCGGAGGAAUGUAGCUCAUUGAGUGUUAUAGCCUCCGGUGAUGCGGCGCGUCCCGGGCGAGGUCCGCGCUUCGGCAAGGAUGUUGGCGUAAUGGUUGGCAGCGGCCCGUCUUGAAACACGGACCAAGGAGUCUAACAUCUAUGCGAGUGUUCGGGUGUCAAACCCCUACGCGUAAUGAAAGUGAACGGAGGUGGGAGCUUCGGCGCACCAUCGACCGAUCCUGAUGUCCUCGGAUGGAUUUGAGUAAGAGCAUAGCUGUUGGGACCCGAAAGAUGGUGAACUAUGCCUGAAUAGGGUGAAGCCAGAGGAAACUCUGGUGGA
Molecule: ribosomal RNA, 740 nt
Filed under: Zasmidium anthuriicola
Lineage: Eukaryota; Fungi; Ascomycota; Dothideomycetes; Mycosphaerellales; Mycosphaerellaceae
Also listed under: 1 other name
Description: eukaryotic LSU rRNA
Rfam family: Eukaryotic large subunit ribosomal RNA
Source: RNAcentral